CGGACGACGCUGGCGGCGUGCUUAAUACAUGCAAGUCGAGCGAGGCCUUGGAAUUGGAGUCCUUCGGGAUGAAGAGUCCUUGGCCUAGCGGCGGACGGGUGAGUAACGCGUGGGCAACCUACCCCAAAGUCCGGGAUAACAGUGGGAAACCGCUGCUAAUACCGGAUGGCUUUACCUGAGGGCAGUCCUUGGGUAAAGAAAGGUUACGCUUUGGGAUGGGCCCGCGUCCCAUUAGCUAGUUGGUGAGGUAACGGCUCACCAAGGCGACGAUGGGUAGCCGGCCUGAGAGGGUGAACGGCCACACUGGGACUGAGACACGGCCCAGACUCCUACGGGAGGCAGCAGUAGGGAAUAUUGCGCAAUGGGCGGAAGCCUGACGCAGCGACGCCGCGUGAGCGAAGAAGGCCUUCGGGUCGUAAAGCUCUGUCCUUGGGGAAGAAGGCGAAAGCUUGACGGUACCCAAGAAGAAAGCCCCGGCUAACUACGUG
Molecule: ribosomal RNA, 488 nt
Filed under: uncultured bacterium
Lineage: Bacteria
Description: bacterial SSU rRNA
Rfam family: Bacterial small subunit ribosomal RNA
Source: RNAcentral